This 390-nucleotide ribosomal RNA is filed under the name Echiniscus sp. ARD-2009. RNAcentral's name for it is "SSU rRNA". It matches the Rfam family "Eukaryotic small subunit ribosomal RNA", at positions 42 to 421 of the family's 1831-position model. Lineage: Eukaryota; Metazoa; Tardigrada; Heterotardigrada; Echiniscoidea; Echiniscidae. The record is from RNAcentral.
GAUUAAGCCAUGCAUGUCUAAGUACUUGCCAAACUAAGGCGAAACCGCGAAUGGCUCAUUAAAUCAGUUAUGGUUUACCUGACAGUUAGUUUACAUGGAUAACUGUGGUAAUUCUAGAGCUAAUACAUGCAGCAAGCCUUGACCCUUACGGGCAAGGCGCAGUUAUUAGAUCAAAAACCAAUCGGUUGUGUCUUCGGAUAUAGCCGUUACUUUGGUGACUCUGAGUAACCACAGCGAACCGUAUGGCCUUGUGCUCGACGGUCUGUCAGUCAAGCAACUGCCUUAUCAGCUUGUUGUUAGGUUAUAUGCCUAACAAGGCUUCAACGGGUAACGAACGAUCGGGGUCGGAUAUCGGAGAGGGAGCUUGAGAAACGGCUACCACAUCCAAGA